Molecule: ribosomal RNA, 467 nt
Filed under: Simulium squamosum
Lineage: Eukaryota; Metazoa; Arthropoda; Insecta; Diptera; Simuliidae
Also listed under: 2 other names
Description: partial 16S ribosomal RNA
Rfam family: Bacterial large subunit ribosomal RNA
Source: RNAcentral
AUAAAGUCUAGCCUGCCCACUGAAUUUUGUUUGAAGGGCCGCAGUAUUUUGACUGUGCAAAGGUAGCAUAAUCAUUAGUCUUUUAAUUGAAGGCUGGUAUGAAUGGUUGGACGAGAUACAAGCUGUGUCAUAAAAAUUAAAAUUUGAAUUUAUCUUUUUAGUUAAAAGACUAAAAUAAAGUUAAAAGACGAGAAGACCCUAUAGAGCUUUAUAUAAUUAAUAUUUAAAUUAUUAAGAUUUUUUAAAUUAAAAUAUUAUUUUAUAUUUUGUUGGGGUGACAAUAAAAUUUAUAAAACUUUUAUUUUUAUUAAACAUUAAUUUAUGAUUAAAUGAUCCAGUUUUAUUGAUUAUAAAUUUAAGUUACCUUAGGGAUAACAGCGUAAUUUUUUUUGAGAGUUCUUAUCGACAAAAAAGAUUGCGACCUCGAUGUUGGAUUAAGAGUAAUUUUGGGUGUAGAAGUUCAAAGU